UUGACAAUAACUAUGAACACCUGAAAGUGCUGAUGCUUUAUUUACAUAUAUAGUCUAUUUUCUUACUUUUAAUUGGAAAUGACAAUAUGAAGAUUCUAUCUUGUCUGAUCAUUCAGAGGGCUGCAGUUUACCAUGAAAAUAACAUUUUUGGCAUCUUUUGGGCUGGACUGACAGCAACUAUCAUGAUCUGCAGCAAACUACCAUGAUGAUAGGCAUUGAGAGGCCGAUAAUCAAGCAGUGAAAACAUCUGAUAAUCACACCUCUCUGGAAAAUGCCACAGAGACAUAUUAGCAUCAUGUGCUUUUCCUCAAAACCUAAGGAAAAGGAAAAAAGAAAAUGAAAGGCAUUUGAGUCAUGACACACUUAUUUCAGACAGUAAAUAUUUCCAACAGGAUGUUUUUCAAAAAGUUUCCACCCGCACUUGGAAGCACACUGCAAAAUUUGAUAUUCAAAUGUUUGCUUCCCAUGGGUAAAUGAAGCUAGUAAUUGAAAUGUAAACCUUUUGUCAUGUAGGACUUUCCAGGUUUUUUAGGCAAGAGGCUGUUCCAUUAUUCCAGCAUAAUAACCCUGAGGAAAAAAACACAACAGUGUGUCUGAAAAUUUGCAACUUCCUUAAUGCUCUAAAAUGUACCAAGUACUUGAGACUGCCACUACAUUUCUCAGGGCUAAUUUUUCCUAAUAAAAAUAAGUCUGUGUUAAUAUUAGUAGAGUUUAAAACACAAUAACAUUUGGAGGGAAUGUUUAGGAUUUUAGACCUGUGGUAUUGCUGCCUUUGUAAAUGAAUAAUGACAUUCCCACACAUGAAGGUUUAAGGGUAAGAGGGAUCUUUACAGUGUUUUUGUCCUGCAAUUUCUUUGGGGGUUUGGGCCAUUCACUCCUUGCUGGUGAUUAUUUCUGCAGUUUGUUCAGAAGCUUUGUACUAGACAAUUGGAUCCAUAGACAGCUAUUGAAUCAAAUGCCUAAACAGAUAAUUUUGUGCCAGGUGGUCUGGAGCCAGUGGAACUGCAGCAUCCAUGAGAGCAGCACUCAGUCCUGCAGGGAAUGUUCACUCUGUAUCACCACCUGCCAACAGCUUGUAAAAAAGACAGUUCUAGUGGACUGGAAGAGACCAAAUAAGAGGACCAAGGGAAAUAUUUGUUGCAGAGGUCUGUGGAACAGAGUGAAAGAGUUAACAGGAAAUGGAC
Molecule: long non-coding RNA, 1184 nt
Filed under: Cyanistes caeruleus (blue tit)
Lineage: Eukaryota; Metazoa; Chordata; Aves; Passeriformes; Paridae
Description: lncRNA (ENSCCEG00000020025.1)
Source: RNAcentral